This 91-nucleotide transfer RNA is filed under the name compost metagenome. RNAcentral describes it as "tRNA-Val". The record is from RNAcentral.
CGGCGGCGAGCGCGUCGAGGUUCGGCGUGCACGGCGACGGCGUGCCCGGCGGCGAGAGGCCGUAGGCACCGAUCUUGUCGGUGCCGAUGUC